UUUGCUUUGGGAUCACCGUUAUUUUGGGGAGCAGUGCAGGAGGGAAGAGAGAAAGUGUGGCCUUCUCUCCCCCAUGGGUGGGAUUUUCCCUAGCAUGUAGGGGUUGGGCCUUCCUCAGACCUCUGACAGAGAUAAGAGUUUUUUUCUUGUUUCCCCUUGUCUCUAAUCUCUUUUCAACAGUUUGUUGUUUGUUUUUCUAGAGGAAGCGUUCUAUGUAAGGUCCAGUCGGGAUUGGGAAGUGCCUGGGAGCAGCUGCAGCGUGGAUGGGCCGUGCCCUUGGAGAAGGCUGAGGACAUCGUUUGGGACCAGCUUUUCUCCCAGCGGAGGAUGGCGUGAGCCGGGCUCUGCGGGUGCUGAGGCUGCUCUGGGCUCUGCCAGGGCUCUGCUGGGCUCUGCCCCGGGCACAGCUGGGCUGGCUGUGCCCUCACAUUGCUCUGACAGCUUUGCAUCAGACGAGCCCGUUGGAGCACAGUGCCUGAGCUUUCUGCUUUGGCAGAAGUGCCAUGAGUGGGCCAAAGCUGGCAAGUGAGCCGUGUUCCUGAGGCAGUGCAGUCUGGAGCUGAUGGAUGGAGAAUUGCCCUUCCCACUUCCAAAGCAGAGCAAAAAGCCAGGUCCUGGCCCUCUUCCAGCCAAAGGGGAAAGGGCCUCACCAAGCCUUGUUACCCACAAACAACAUGGUAAAGCUGAACACUAAAGGACCUUGGGGGCAUUAUUCUGGAAUUAAAAAGUUGCCAGCUCCAUGGACAACAGAAUUAUUGUUCCUAACCUGAAUGACAUUGAGCAAAAA
This is a non-coding RNA of Taeniopygia guttata (zebra finch), 787 nucleotides long. NCBI's taxonomy places the organism in Eukaryota, Metazoa, Chordata, Aves, Passeriformes, Estrildidae. The record is from RefSeq and is a predicted model, not a curated record.